UACGAAGGGGGCUAGCGUUGCUCGGAAUCACUGGGCGUAAAGCGCACGUAGGCGGCUUGUUAAGUCAGGGGUGAAAUCCUGGAGCUCAACUCCAGAACUGCCUUUGAUACUGGCGAGCUUGAGUUCGGGAGAGGUGAGUGGAACUGCGAGUGUAGAGGUGAAAUUCGUAGAUAUUCGCAAGAACACCAGUGGCGAAGGCGGCUCACUGGUCCGGUACUGACGCUGAGGUGCGAAAGCGUGGGGAGCAAACAGG
RNAcentral lists this ribosomal RNA (253 nucleotides) under uncultured bacterium. Its description in RNAcentral is "partial 16S ribosomal RNA". It matches the Rfam family "Bacterial small subunit ribosomal RNA", at positions 524 to 776 of the family's 1533-position model. The record is from RNAcentral.